UGGGGAAUUUUGGACAAUGGGGGAAACCCUGAUCCAGCCAUCCCGCGUGUGCGAUGAAGGCCUUCGGGUUGCAAAGCACUUUUUGCAGGAAAGAAACGUCAUGGGUUAAUACCCCGUGAAACUGACGGUACCUGCAGAAUAAGCACCGGCUAACUACGUGCCAGCAGCCGCGGUAAUACGUAGGGUGCAAGCGUUAAUCGGAAUUACUGGGCGUAAAGCGUGCGCAGGCGGUUCGGAAAGAAAGAUGUGAAAUCCCAGAGCUCAACUUUGGAACUGCAUUUUAAACUACCGGGCUAGAGUGUGACAGAGGGGGGUGGAAUUCCGCGUGUAGCAGUGAAAUGCGUAGAUAUGCGGAGGAACACCGAUGGCGAAGGCAGCCUCCUGGGAUAACACUGACGCUCAUGCACGAAAGCGUGGGGAGCAAACAGG
This 429-nucleotide ribosomal RNA is filed under the name Acidobacteriota bacterium. Its description in RNAcentral is "Acidobacteria bacterium partial 16S ribosomal RNA". It matches the Rfam family "Bacterial small subunit ribosomal RNA", at positions 355 to 776 of the family's 1533-position model. Lineage: Bacteria; Pseudomonadati; Acidobacteriota. The record is from RNAcentral.